This 630-nucleotide ribosomal RNA is filed under the name uncultured fungus. RNAcentral describes it as "eukaryotic LSU rRNA". It matches the Rfam family "Eukaryotic large subunit ribosomal RNA", at positions 1 to 635 of the family's 3401-position model. Lineage: Eukaryota; Fungi. The record is from RNAcentral.
GAUCUCAAAUCAGGUAGGACUACCCGCUGAACUUAAGCAUAUCAAUAAGCGGAGGAAAAGAAACUAACAAGGAUUCCCCUAGUAACUGCGAGUGAAGCGGGAAGAGCUCAAAUUUAAAAUCUGGCGUGCCUCUGGUCGUCCGAGUUGUAGUCUGGAGAAGCGUUUUCUGCGUUGGACCGUGUAUAAGUCUCUUGGAACAGGGCGUCAUAGAGGGUGAGAAUCCCGUCUUUGACACGGACUACCGAUGCUUUGUGAUACGUUCUCAAAGAGUCGAGUUGUUUGGGAAUGCAGCUCAAAAUGGGUGGUAAAUUCCAUCUAAAGCUAAAUAUAGGCGAGAGACCGAUAGCGAACAAGUACCGUGAGGGAAAGAUGAAAAGCACUUUGGAAAGAGAGUUAAACAGUACGUGAAAUUGCUGAAAGGGAAACGCUUGAAGUCAGUCAUGUCUGCCAGGACUCAGCCUUGCUUCUGCUCGGUGUACUUUCUGGUUGGAUGGGCCAACAUCGAUUUUGACCGUUGGAGAAAGGCUUUGGGAAUGUGGCACCUUCGGGUGUGUUAUAGCCCUUUGUUGUAUACAACGGUUGGGAUCGAGGACUGCAGCAUGCCUUCAUGGCCGGGGUUCGCCCACGUAC